This 494-nucleotide ribosomal RNA is filed under the name uncultured bacterium. Its description in RNAcentral is "partial 16S ribosomal RNA". It matches the Rfam family "Bacterial small subunit ribosomal RNA", at positions 28 to 507 of the family's 1533-position model. The record is from RNAcentral.
GACGAACGCUGGCGGCGUGCUUAACACAUGCAAGUCGAACGGUGAAGCGCCUUCCUUUUUGGUGGGUGUGGAUGAGUGGCGAACGGGUGAGUAACACGUGAGUAACCUGCCCCCUGCUUCUGGAUAACCGCAUGAAAGUGUGGCUAAUACGGGAUAUUCUGGGUCUGUCGCAUGAUGGGUCUGGGAAAGAUAUUGUUUCGGUGGGGGAUGGGCUCGCGGCCUAUCAGGUUGUUGGGGGGGUGAUGGCCUACCAAGGCGGUGACGGGUAGCCGGCCUGAGAGGGUGGACGGUCACACUGGGACUGAGCCACGGCCCAGACUCCUACGGGAGGCAGCAGUGGGGAAUAGUGAACAAUGGGCGCAAGCCUGAUGCAGCGACGCCGCGUGAGGGAUGGAGGCCUUCGGGUUGUGAACCUCUUUCGCCAGUGAAGCAGGCCUGCCUAGUUUGUGGGUGGGUUGACGGUAGCUGGAUAAGAAGCGCCGGCUAACUACGUG